CCCCCCCCCCCCCCCCCCCCCCCCCCUUUUAAAUGACUUUUUUUUUUUUUUUUUUUAAAUACUGCCUGCCCUCUUCUCCCUCAAGACAAAAGAGAGUCUCUUUCGAUUUGAAAUGCAAUGUCCUAAGAAAUUUUCUGGCAGAAGCACUUGUGCUGGAUAAUGACAUAUCAGCUCAUGCCCAGAAUGUUGCCAAGGCCAAAUAUGAAUUUUUAUUUGGCUUGGAAGAAGAGAAACCUUCAGGAAUGGGUAGUGGCCGUGGAAGCAGCAGUUUGCCUCCUCACACCACCAUCAAUGAAUUUCCAGAGUACGGCAGCGUAGAGUCAAGCAGACAGGCGGCGGGGGCCCCGCCCGUGACGCGCAGCCCCGAAGGACGGGACGGCCACCACCGCGCCCGGCCCGGGCCUCCGCGCGCGGCCCCUGCCCCCCCCCCCCCCCCCCCCCCCCCCCCCCCCCCCCCCCCCCCCCCCCCCCCCCCCCCCCCCCCCCCCCCCCCCCCCCCCCCCCCCCCCCCCCCCCCCCCCCCCCCCCCCCCCCCCCCCCCCCCCCCCCCCC
Molecule: long non-coding RNA, 552 nt
Filed under: Ficedula albicollis (Collared flycatcher)
Lineage: Eukaryota; Metazoa; Chordata; Aves; Passeriformes; Muscicapidae
Description: lncRNA (ENSFALG00000024387.1)
Source: RNAcentral